GGAUGAUGAGGGACAUGGAGGCUAUGGGCCUGUCGGGCAGUUUAUACAACACAGACACGUUGAGUGAGGAGCUUGAGGAGAUGCAGGAUGUGUACGGGGACGACCCGGACUUUGCGCAAGCACUCAAAGGUGAGUGGCAUGAGCAGGGAAUUGGAAGGCCUUCGGUUGGAUAUGUGCCAUGUUUGGUACCCUAAUCAUUUUACCGUGGCGCGCAGAAACGGGGAUGGACAGCUACGUCAAACGAACGGCGCCAGUUGAGGAGCCAGCAAGUGGGGACGACGGUACGGCCUCGACGGCCAGCGCUACGGUGGCGAAGCUCCAGGAUACUGCGGCAAAGGCAGCUGGCAGUAUUCUGGAUGGGGCGACGAAGCUUGUAGAGGGGGCGAAAAGCUUUAUGGGAAAACUGCUCGGCAGCAGCAAGCAGGACGGAAAAGGCAGCGAAUUGUGAUAGCCUUUGAGCUGAGUUUAAUUAGAGUAUCCAUAUGGUUAAGUUUGUUGCACCUUCUCUCAAGGACGGCUUAAUGUGACGGUGGUAAUCAAGAAUGUGAUUGCUCCGUAACCACUAUUCG
Molecule: long non-coding RNA, 569 nt
Filed under: Volvox carteri
Lineage: Eukaryota; Viridiplantae; Chlorophyta; Chlorophyceae; Chlamydomonadales; Volvocaceae
Description: long non-coding RNA (VCAR_LNC001065)
Source: RNAcentral